This 541-nucleotide ribosomal RNA is filed under the name uncultured eukaryote. RNAcentral's name for it is "SSU rRNA". It matches the Rfam family "Eukaryotic small subunit ribosomal RNA", at positions 202 to 746 of the family's 1831-position model. The record is from RNAcentral.
UGUAUUUAUUAGAUAAAAAACCAAUGCCCUCCGGGGCUCUUUGGUGAUUCAUGAUAACUUAACGGAUCGCAUGGCCUUGCGCCGGCGACGGUUCAUUCAAAUUUCUGCCCUAUCAACUUUCGAUGGUAAGGUAUUGGCUUACCAUGGUUUCAACGGGUAACGGGGAAUUAGGGUUCGAUUCCGGAGAGGGAGCCUGAGAAACGGCUACCACAUCCAAGGAAGGCAGCAGGCGCGCAAAUUACCCAAUCCCGACACGGGGAGGUAGUGACAAUAAAUACUGAUACAGGGCUCUUUUGGGUCUUGUAAUUGGAAUGAGUACAAUUUAAAUCCCUUAACGAGGAACAAUUGGAGGGCAAGUCUGGUGCCAGCAGCCGCGGUAAUUCCAGCUCCAAUAGCGUAUAUUAAAGUUGUUGCAGUUAAAAAGCUCGUAGUUGAACCUUGGGCCUGGCUGGCCGGUCCGCCUCACCGCGUGCACUGGUUCGGCCGGGCCUUUCCCUCUGGGGAGCCCUAUGCCCUUCACUGGGUGUAGUGGGGAACCAGG